Molecule: transfer RNA, 68 nt
Filed under: Paroedura masobe
Lineage: Eukaryota; Metazoa; Chordata; Lepidosauria; Squamata; Gekkonidae
Description: tRNA-Trp
Source: RNAcentral
AGACACUUAGGCUAUUUUAAACCAGGGCCCUUCAAAGCCCCAGAAAGAGACCACAUCUCUAGUGUCUG